RNAcentral lists this long non-coding RNA (2812 nucleotides) under Androctonus crassicauda. The record is from RNAcentral. Lineage: Eukaryota; Metazoa; Arthropoda; Arachnida; Scorpiones; Buthidae.
GUUACAACGGGGAUUUUAAAGAGGGAACCAGAAGUAAACAGACAGUUCCAUCAGGUAUAUUAUAGUUGUGCUAUGUGAUCCUAUUGUGAUUACGUUAAGUGCUGUCGUGUGUUGAGAUAACGUCUUUCGUCGGGUAUAGCAAAAGUCUUUUUUAUUUUUUUUUUCGGCAGAAUUAGAAAUCCACCCGGAAUAAUGGAGCUUUCCAACAUUUAAUGAAUUUUCUACAUUUAGUUUUAUAUAUAUAUAUAUUACACAAGUUACUAAAAUUGUAAGUGCAAAAAAAUAUGUUUAAAAUUUUAAAGAACACGUGAGCUUAACGUAAUAUAUAUACUCUUACCAUUGAUGGUACGAAUAUUUACGAUAAAUCUCGAAUGCCAUCAAUAAGAAUGGCACUGGAUAUUCAAAAUGCUUUGUCAUCCCGUGUCACGUAAGACUGAUUACUCCAUGAUACAGGUAGGCUUUUAUUGUACACAAAAUUAUACACCUGUAACAUUAAUUCAUCCAUCUAUUAUUUAUAUGUUGUAUGUUUUCGAUAAUUCUUUUGUUAAUUCGUGGACUUAAAUAUUUUAUUGCCAUCAGAAAUUGGCAAACAUAAAAUGAAAAAUCGGUUAAUGGAGCGACGCAUUUCUAAUAUUGGCUUUUGAAAAUUUAAUAAUGUAUCGAUAAAUAUAUAAUUUAGAAAAGUAGUUAAGAUUUUUUUUUAACGUAUUUUGUUUAUUUUUGAACAUUCAGCGUGUACAUUUUGUUAAUUUUACAUUCGUUAAACGAGUUAUACAAAUAUUCACAAACAUUCUAAGUGCAUUUUCGGAUUAUCUUUUUUGUUUAAUUAUUGGUGUUAAUAUGUGUGUAUCGUUCGAAUGUGGAAUCUGGUGCAGUUAUAUUUACUUUCAGUAGGAGAGAGAGGUGAUAUGUAGACCUUCUAUCGAAGUUCAAGGCCAAGAGUCUCCACUCAUCAGCUCCUGGAUUACCGAUUCUAGUAAGCUACCGAAUAGAUUCCGAGCAGAAAAAUAUCUAUCAAAAAAAUGUUUGUGUGUAUUCAUGAUAGCCGCCCUUCUAAUAAUAUUCAUUAAUUAGAAUAAUUUUAAUGGUAAUAAUUUCAAAUUAAUUUUAACAUAUUCUAUAUAAUUUUCAAAAUCGAAUUUGUCUUGGUAAAUUUUUUUUUAAUAUUAAAGAAAAGGCAAUAGUUUUUUUUUCCAUUUAUAAAUAAUUUAAAAAUCACUUAAAAGUGUGAAAAAUAUGUUUGUAUGGAUUUUUUUUUUCUGAUGGUGGGAACGGAGUCGGCGGUGGACGUAGGUGUGUUUACAUUCAACAUCUAUCAACAUAUUGGCCGUUGUUACCGGUUGAUGGUAGAGAUGGCUUUAAUAGUCUCUCUCUAUGGUCCUCGGUACAUGUCAGGCUAGGAAAUAUUCAGGCAGCAGAAGGUACACAACAAACGUGACACAUUCUUAUUUAUUAUUAAGUGCUGCUGUGCCAACUGUUGCGAAGAGUUCUCCCAUCAUAGCCUCCGGGAGGAAAACGACACUUACUUCCUCUCUUUUUCCACUACCUUUACUUCCUGAUCUCCGUGUCCUUUUCUUAGCCGGGCUUUAUGUCCGAGAACCCAUCGCCGCUCAUUAUGACAGGAAAAAACAUUUUCUUACUUCUCUUUCUUGUAACAUCGGCUCGAUCUGACGGAUAAAUGACUCUAGAUCCUCAAAUUAUUCCGAUAUAAGCCGAUCAUUCGAUGACUAUAGAAGAGGACGUUUCGCCCACUCUCCAUUUCUUAUUCGAUCCAAAUUCGGAAACGUUAGCGAUAGAAUUAUCUUAUUUAAAAACGAAAGUUUAGUCUGCAUUAAAAAAAUUCUCGCGCAUUUUCUCCAUAAAAUCGCGACUUAAACCCCUUUAAUAGCGCUGAAACGGUUAAUUUAAUGCAAAGAAAAGAUACAUUAAAAAGAUAAUCCCUUUACCCGGUCAAAGGGGAGAGACCACAGUACAUAAAAAGUCGACAGGUUGUUAAUGUUGGCAACAACCUGUCUAUCGUAUUUCGGUUAUUGAAAGCGCGCAGGUAACUUUUCACCGGAGAAAAAGAGGGGAGUGGAUUAAACGGUGUCGCACUCGAUUAGCCUAUCGUCCCCUGUGAGGAGAGGGCCCCGCGAGGUAGAGGCACGCGACCGUGUUGUACACGUGUAGCGAUACACGAGGGGAUCAGGGGAUAGAAGGGGGUGUUUCUCUCCAUUAACGUCAGAGUGACAAAUCCAUUGCGGUGCGCUCCGUGACCCCCGAAUAUGUUCCCUUAAUACAUUAAAUCGAAAGGAUUGCAAAUUUGCUUUGUAAACUCCUCCCUCGAUAACACUUCCAUUCAAAUGGUUCUCCUCUUUUCUCCCUCCUAUCGGAAGUCUCUUCCAAUUUUUUUUUUUUUUUUUCAUUACCCCAACGACGGCUGUACUAAAGGCAGAUUAUCUAAAAUAAAUAUUCCUUCCACUCGGCCGGAGAUUGAUCGAUGGUUAGCCUCAAUUAUACACGGGAAGAGAGGAAAAUGAUGCGAAAUGGCACAGAAUGAAACUUUUUAAUGAUUUGUUCCAUGAAAGAACUCUUUUCUCUCCCUUCGGAUCUGUUUUCAUUGUCAGAAUCGAACUAUUGCCCGGUCUACUAUUGUGAUUAUCUUCCGACUGUUGUCCCAAAUUAAGGAAACACCUCGCUAUUCAAUACGUAUCUAAAUAAUUAAAACCGAUUCCCUCAGGAAAGUAAAAAAACAAAAAGCCAUUAGUAACUCUUAGAAUAUAUUUCGUUAACUUAUAUUUAUCGGAGUUUAGAAAUCUUUCUCUAAUUUUUU